GUAAAUAUAGUUUAAUAAAAACAUUAGAUUGUGAUUCUAAAAAUAGGAGUUAAACCCUCCCUGUUCACC
This 69-nucleotide transfer RNA is filed under the name Aseraggodes kobensis (milky spotted sole). RNAcentral describes it as "tRNA-His". It matches the Rfam family "tRNA". From Rfam's summary of the family: Transfer RNA (tRNA) molecules are approximately 80 nucleotides in length. Their secondary structure includes four short double-helical elements and three loops (D, anti-codon, and T loops). Lineage: Eukaryota; Metazoa; Chordata; Actinopteri; Pleuronectiformes; Soleidae. The record is from RNAcentral.